AUUGAACGCUGGCGGCAUGCCUUACACAUGCAAGUCGAACGGCAGCAUGAUCUAGCUUGCUAGAUUGAUGGCGAGUGGCGAACGGGUGAGUAAUACAUCGGAACGUGCCCUGUAGUGGGGGAUAACUAGUCGAAAGAUUAGCUAAUACCGCAUACGACCUGAGGGUGAAAGUGGGGGACCGCAAGGCCUCAUGCUAUAGGAGCGGCCGAUGUCUGAUUAGCUAGUUGGUGAGGUAAAGGCUCACCAAGGCGACGAUCAGUAGCUGGUCUGAGAGGACGAUCAGCCACACUGGGACUGAGACACGGCCCAGACUCCUACGGGAGGCAGCAGUGGGGAAUUUUGGACAAUGGGCGAAAGCCUGAUCCAGCAAUGCCGCGUGUGUGAAGAAGGCCUUCGGGUUGUAAAGCACUUUUGUCCGGAAAGAAAUGGCUCUGGUUAAUACCUGGGGUCGAUGACGGUACCGGAAGAAUAAGGACCGGCGAACUACG
This 488-nucleotide ribosomal RNA is filed under the name uncultured bacterium. Its description in RNAcentral is "partial 16S ribosomal RNA". It matches the Rfam family "Bacterial small subunit ribosomal RNA", at positions 30 to 505 of the family's 1533-position model. The record is from RNAcentral.